Molecule: ribosomal RNA, 253 nt
Filed under: uncultured bacterium
Lineage: Bacteria
Description: partial 16S ribosomal RNA
Rfam family: Bacterial small subunit ribosomal RNA
Source: RNAcentral
UACGUAGGGGGCAAGCGUUGUCCGGAUUUAUUGGGCGUAAAGAGCGUGUAGGCGGCCAGGUAGGUCCGCUGUGAAAACUCGAGGCUCAACCUCGAGAUGUCGGCGGAAACCAUCUGGCUAGAGUCCGGAAGAGGAGAGUGGAAUUCCACGUGUAGCAGUGAAAUGCGUAGAUAUGUGGAGGAACACCGAUGGCGAAGGCAGCCCCCUGGGUUAACACUGACGCUCAUGCACGAAAGCGUGGGGAGCAAACAGG